UCGGGAAUCUUGCACAAUGGGCGAAAGCCUGAUGCAGCAACGCCGUGUGAGCGAGGAAGGUCUUCGGAUCGUAAAGCUCUGUUGUUGGGGACGAAGGGCGAAGGGUUAAUAGCCCCUAGCCUGACGGUACCCUUCGAGGAAGCCCCGGCUAACUACGUGCCAGCAGCCGCGGUAAUACGUAGGGGGCGAGCGUUGUCCUGAAUUAUUGGGCGUAAAGAGCGUGUAGGCGGUUCCUUAAGUCGGGUGUGAAAUCUCAGGGCUCAACUCUGAAACUGCACCCGAUACUGGGGAACUUGAGGCAGGUAGGGGAGAUCGGAAUUCCUGGUGUAGCGGUGAAAUGCGCAGAUAUCAGGAGGAACACCGGUGGCGAAGGCGGAUCUCUGGGCCUGUUCUGACGCUGAGGAGCGAAAGCGUGGGGAGCAAACAGGAUUAGAUACCCGUGUAGUCC
Molecule: ribosomal RNA, 448 nt
Filed under: uncultured prokaryote
Description: bacterial SSU rRNA
Rfam family: Bacterial small subunit ribosomal RNA
Source: RNAcentral